RNAcentral lists this ribosomal RNA (425 nucleotides) under uncultured bacterium. RNAcentral describes it as "bacterial SSU rRNA". It matches the Rfam family "Bacterial small subunit ribosomal RNA", at positions 354 to 796 of the family's 1533-position model. The record is from RNAcentral.
GUUAGGAAUAUUGGACAAUGGGCGCAAGCCUGAUCCAGCCAUGCCGCGUGAGUGAUGAAGGCCUUCGGGUUGUAAAGCUCUUUAGCCGAUGAUUAUAAUGACUGUAGUCGGAAAAUAAGCCCCGGCUAACUUCGUGCCAGCAGCCGCGGUAAUACGAAGGGGGCGAGCGUUAUUCGGAAUCACUGGGCGUAAAGCGUGCGUAGGCGGCUUUGCAAGUUGGGAGUGAAAGCCCAGGGCUCAACCCUGGAAUUGCUCUCAAAACUGCAAGGCUCGAAUUCGGGUGAGGAUAGCGGAAUUGUCAGUGUAGCAGUGAAAUGCGUAGAUAUUGACAGGAACACCAGUGGCGUAAGCGGCUAUCUGGACCGAUAUUGACGCUGAGGCACGAAAGCGUGGGGAUCAAACAGGAUUAGAUACCCGUGUAGUCC